GUUGUGGCUCAGUGGUAGAGCAUUUGCUUGGCAUUCAGAAAAUCCUAGGUUCAAUCCUUAGCAUUCCA
This 68-nucleotide transfer RNA is filed under the name Sphaerodactylus townsendi. RNAcentral describes it as "tRNA-Ala". The stretch from base 3 to 63 matches the Rfam family "tRNA", at positions 6 to 65 of the family's 71-position model. Rfam says of the family: Transfer RNA (tRNA) molecules are approximately 80 nucleotides in length. Their secondary structure includes four short double-helical elements and three loops (D, anti-codon, and T loops). Further hydrogen bonds mediate the characteristic L-shaped molecular structure. tRNAs have two regions of fundamental functional importance: the anti-codon, which is responsible for specific mRNA codon recognition, and the 3' end, to which the tRNAs corresponding amino acid is attached (by aminoacyl-tRNA synthetases). tRNAs cope with the degeneracy of the genetic code in two manners: having more than one tRNA (with a specific anti-codon) for a particular amino acid; and 'wobble' base-pairing, i.e. permitting non-standard base-pairing at the 3rd anti-codon position. The record is from RNAcentral. Lineage: Eukaryota; Metazoa; Chordata; Lepidosauria; Squamata; Sphaerodactylidae.